This 506-nucleotide ribosomal RNA is filed under the name uncultured bacterium. RNAcentral describes it as "partial 16S ribosomal RNA". It matches the Rfam family "Bacterial small subunit ribosomal RNA", at positions 30 to 523 of the family's 1533-position model. The record is from RNAcentral.
AUUGAACGCUGGCGGCAGGCCUAACACAUGCAAGUCGAACGGUAACAGGAAACAGCUUGCUGUUUCGCUGACGAGUGGCGGACGGGUGAGUAAUGUCUGGGAAACUGCCUGAUGGAGGGGGAUAACUACUGGAAACGGUAGCUAAUACCGCAUAACGUCGCAAGACCAAAGAGGGGGACCUUCGGGCCUCUUGCCAUCGGAUGUGCCCAGAUGGGAUUAGCUAGUUGGUGGGGUAACGGCUCACCAAGGCGACGAUCCCUAGCUGGUCUGAGAGGAUGACCAGCCACACUGGAACUGAGACACGGUCCAGACUCCUACGGGAGGCAGCAGUGGGGAAUAUUGCACAAUGGGCGCAAGCCUGAUGCAGCCAUGCCGCGUGUAUGAAGAAGGCCUUCGGGUUGUAAAGUACUUUCAGCGGGGAGGAAGGGAGUAAAGUUAAUACCUUUGCUCAUUGACGUUACCCGCAGAAGAAGCACCGGCUAACUCCGUGCCAGCAGCCGCGGUAA